RNAcentral lists this unclassified non-coding RNA (584 nucleotides) under Hevea brasiliensis (rubber tree). Lineage: Eukaryota; Viridiplantae; Streptophyta; Magnoliopsida; Malpighiales; Euphorbiaceae. The record is from RNAcentral.
GAAAAACAUAUGUAUAAAUUUGGUUCUCGGUUCAAUACGAUUUGGUUCGGUUCUAGUUUGGUUAUUAGUGAAAAACUAAAAUCGAACUAAAGUAUCAAAAUAACUUCAAUUCGAUACAGUUCCUAUUAGUUUUGUAUGGUUCUUUGUUUCGGUUCGAUAUGGUUCUUCAUUUCGGUUCGGAAUCCCUGAGAAUCGUGCAUAGCUCUAAGUUACCACAUUUCUUAUUUAGACUGUUCGAUAGUAUAAUAUUUAUAAUGUUUAAAGAUUGAGGGAACAAUUUAUAAAAAGUUACUCCUAUUCUUAGAAGUUGAAAAAACAUUUUGAUCAGGAUCAAUAAGAUAAUAUAACUAUCUAAUCGAACAUUUAUUUUUAUUAAAUAAUUGUACUUUAAAUCACUAUAUAAACAGCUAACCACUAACUAAUAACAGAUAAUAGCUAAUAACAGCUAGAAUAGCUAAUAGCUAUUAAAAUGGCUAAUAUUAUCAAAUAGAGCCUAAGUUAAACUUAAUCAACGACUCUAUGAUUUAUAGAAUUUAUUAUUUGAUAUUAUUCUUAUUUUCAGGUGAUCUAGGGCAAACAGAAUG